GGCUGGUCCAAGUGCAGUGGUGUUUACAACUAAUUAAUCACAACCAGUUAUGGAUUGCUUUGUUCCUUCUCCGCUCCCACUGCUUCACUUGACUAGCCUAAA
Unclassified non-coding RNA from Microcebus murinus (gray mouse lemur), 102 nucleotides. It matches the Rfam family "Y RNA". Rfam says of the family: Y RNAs are components of the Ro ribonucleoprotein particle (Ro RNP), in association with Ro60 and La proteins. The Y RNAs and Ro60 and La proteins are well conserved, but the function of the Ro RNP is not known. The record is from Ensembl. Lineage: Eukaryota; Metazoa; Chordata; Mammalia; Primates; Cheirogaleidae.